This 73-nucleotide transfer RNA is filed under the name Ceratocystis platani. Its description in RNAcentral is "tRNA-Cys". It matches the Rfam family "tRNA". Rfam says of the family: Transfer RNA (tRNA) molecules are approximately 80 nucleotides in length. Their secondary structure includes four short double-helical elements and three loops (D, anti-codon, and T loops). The record is from RNAcentral. Lineage: Eukaryota; Fungi; Ascomycota; Sordariomycetes; Microascales; Ceratocystidaceae.
GGGUGCGUAGCUCAGUGGUAGAGCACGGGAUUGCAGAUCCUGGGGUCGCCGGUUCGAUCCCGGUCACACCCUC